CGGAUUNUAGGCUGCAACUCGCCUACAUGAAGUCGGAGUUGCUAGUAAUCGCGGAUCAGAAUGCCGCGGUGAAUGCGUUCCCGGGUCUUGUACACACCGCCCGUCACACCAUGGAAGUUGGGGCGCCCGAAGUUGGUCGAGGAAUAGAUUACCUAAGGCGAAACCAAUGACUGGGUGAAGUCGUAACAAGGUAUC
RNAcentral lists this ribosomal RNA (195 nucleotides) under uncultured bacterium. Its description in RNAcentral is "partial 16S ribosomal RNA". It matches the Rfam family "Bacterial small subunit ribosomal RNA", at positions 1294 to 1500 of the family's 1533-position model. The record is from RNAcentral.